GACGAACGCUGGCGGCGUGCCUAAUACAUGCAAGUUGAGCGAUGAAGAUUGGUGCUUGCACCAAUUUGAAGAGCAGCGAACGGGUGAGUAACGCGUGGGGAAUCUGCCUUUGAGCGGGGGACAACAUUUGGAAACGAAUGCUAAUACCGCAUAACAACUUUAAACAUAAGUUUUAAGUUUGAAAGAUGCAAUUGCAUCACUCAAAGAUGAUCCCGCGUUGUAUUAGCUAGUUGGUGAGGUAAAGGCUCACCAAGGCGAUGAUACAUAGCCGACCUGAGAGGGUGAUCGGCCACAUUGGGACUGAGACACGGCCCAAACUACUACGGGAGGCAGCAGUAGGGAAUCUUCGGCAAUGGACGGAAGUCUGACCGAGCAACGCCGCGUGAGUGAAGAAGGUUUUCGGAUCGUAAAACUCUGUUGGUAGAGAAGAACGUUGGUGAGAGUGGAAAGCUCAUCAAGUGACGGUAACUACCCAGAAAGGGACGGCUAACUACGUG
Molecule: ribosomal RNA, 497 nt
Filed under: uncultured bacterium
Lineage: Bacteria
Description: partial 16S ribosomal RNA
Rfam family: Bacterial small subunit ribosomal RNA
Source: RNAcentral